RNAcentral lists this ribosomal RNA (253 nucleotides) under uncultured bacterium. RNAcentral describes it as "partial 16S ribosomal RNA". It matches the Rfam family "Bacterial small subunit ribosomal RNA", at positions 524 to 776 of the family's 1533-position model. The record is from RNAcentral.
GACGUAGGAGGCGAGCGCUAUCCGGAUUCACUGGGUGUAAAGCGCGUGCAGGUGGUCUCGUAAGUUGGACGUAAAAUCUCCUGGCUCAACUGGGAGGGGCCGUUCAAUACUGCGGGGCUAGAGGGCAGGAGAGGGAGGUGGAAUUCCCGGUGUAGUGGUGAAAUGCGUAGAUAUCGGGAGGAACACCAGUGGCGAAAGCGGCCUCCUGGCCUGCUCCUGACACUAAGACGCGAAAGCUAGGGGAGCGAACGGG